GGGGGUGGGAGCGUGGGAGGGGGGCUGCCUCCUCUCUCUCCUCCCUCUACCCCUCCUUUCUUCUCUCUCUCUCUUCCCCUCCCUCCUCGCUUACCUCGCCUCUCUCCCUCUAUCUCUCCCUCAUUUCCUUUCUUUCUCUUCUCCCUCUCUCCUCCAGUCCCCCCCCCCACCCUCUUUCUUACUCUCCCCUCCCUCUCUCCUCUCCUUCUCUCGCCCUCCCUCUCUCUUCUCCCUCUCCCUUCAAGUCUGGCACUGAACGCGAACUGUUUUGCUUUGCUCCGAGAAGAGUGCAGACACAGAACGUGAAAUCCCGAGCUUUUUUUUUUUUUUUGCGUGGUGCAUUUAAAACGCUUCCUUAUUUAUAUUACCCUCAUUCCCUCACCUCUCCCACCCCCUCACCAGCCUUUCCAAAUUUCCCUAGAAAUCUCUAUAAAGCGUGCGGAGGGGAAAACAUUUGCACAAAAAGUGAAGGAGCUCGCCAAGGAGUUCCCGUUUGGGUAGUCAAACCUGCCCUGACACCUGGACGUCUGCAUGAGGGGUGGUCACUGAAGGAGGAGUUGUCAGAGGCCAUAGGAGCUAAAGAGUCUGUGCA
RNAcentral lists this long non-coding RNA (592 nucleotides) under Bos mutus (wild yak). RNAcentral's name for it is "lncRNA (ENSBMUG00000012471.1)". Lineage: Eukaryota; Metazoa; Chordata; Mammalia; Artiodactyla; Bovidae. The record is from RNAcentral.